This 326-nucleotide ribosomal RNA is filed under the name uncultured eukaryote. RNAcentral describes it as "partial 18S ribosomal RNA". It matches the Rfam family "Eukaryotic small subunit ribosomal RNA", at positions 1470 to 1796 of the family's 1831-position model. The record is from RNAcentral.
CCCUUAGAUGUCCUGGGCCGCACGCGCGCUACACUGAUGCAUUCAACAAGCCUAGCCUUGACCGAGAGGUCCGGGUAAUCUUUGAAACUGCAUCGUGAUGGGGCUAGAUUAUUGCAAUUAUUAAUCUUCAACGAGGAAUGCCUAGUAAGCGUGAUUCAUCAAAUCGCGUUGAUUACGUCCCUGCCCUUUGUACACACCGCCCGUCGCUCCUACCGAUUGAAUGUGUUGGUGAGGAGCUCGGAUUGGCAGCAGUUGGUGGUUCGCCACCGGCUAUUGCUGAGAAGUCCUCCAAACCGCCCCAUUUAGAGGAAGGAGAAGUCGUAACA